RNAcentral lists this transfer RNA (88 nucleotides) under Candidatus Omnitrophota bacterium. RNAcentral describes it as "tRNA-Ser". It matches the Rfam family "tRNA". Rfam says of the family: Transfer RNA (tRNA) molecules are approximately 80 nucleotides in length. The record is from RNAcentral. Lineage: Bacteria; Pseudomonadati; Candidatus Omnitrophota.
GGUGGGGUUCGGGAGUGGUUUAACCGGCCUGUCUUGAAAACAGGUGUACCGUAAGGUACCGUGAGUUCGAAUCUCACCCCCACCGCCA